UACGAAGGGGGCGAGCGUUGUUCGGAUUUACUGGGCGUAAAGGGCGCGCAGGCGGCUAUCCAAGUCAGGCGUGAAAGCCCCGGGCUUAACCUGGGAGGUGCGUCUGGGACUGGGUGGCUAGAGUUCGGGAGAGGAGAGUGGAAUUCCCAGUGUAGAGGUGAAAUUCGUAGAUAUUGGGAAGAACACCGGUGGCGAAGGCGGCUCUCUGGGACGGUACUGACGCUGAGACGCGAAAGCGUGGGGAGCAAACAGG
This 253-nucleotide ribosomal RNA is filed under the name uncultured bacterium. Its description in RNAcentral is "partial 16S ribosomal RNA". It matches the Rfam family "Bacterial small subunit ribosomal RNA", at positions 524 to 776 of the family's 1533-position model. The record is from RNAcentral.